GAGGAUAUAGCUCAAUUGGUAGAGUGCAUGCUUAGCAUGCAUGAAGUACUGGAUUGAAUCCCCAGUACUGCCA
This is a transfer RNA of Camelus ferus (Wild Bactrian camel), 73 nucleotides long. It matches the Rfam family "tRNA". From Rfam's summary of the family: Transfer RNA (tRNA) molecules are approximately 80 nucleotides in length. Their secondary structure includes four short double-helical elements and three loops (D, anti-codon, and T loops). Further hydrogen bonds mediate the characteristic L-shaped molecular structure. tRNAs have two regions of fundamental functional importance: the anti-codon, which is responsible for specific mRNA codon recognition, and the 3' end, to which the tRNAs corresponding amino acid is attached (by aminoacyl-tRNA synthetases). tRNAs cope with the degeneracy of the genetic code in two manners: having more than one tRNA (with a specific anti-codon) for a particular amino acid; and 'wobble' base-pairing, i.e. permitting non-standard base-pairing at the 3rd anti-codon position. The record is from Rfam. NCBI's taxonomy places the organism in Eukaryota, Metazoa, Chordata, Mammalia, Artiodactyla, Camelidae.